Molecule: microRNA precursor, 208 nt
Filed under: Oryza rufipogon (brownbeard rice)
Lineage: Eukaryota; Viridiplantae; Streptophyta; Magnoliopsida; Poales; Poaceae
Description: MIR812 microRNA precursor family
Rfam family: MIR812 microRNA precursor family
Source: Rfam by way of RNAcentral
AAUAACUGCAGUUUUACACUAUUCACAUUCAACGUUUGAUCAUUCAUCUUAUUUGAAAAUUUUUUAUGAUUAGUAUUUUUAUUGCUAUUAGAUGAUAAAACAUAAAUAGUACUUUAUGUGUGACUAAAUAUUUUCAAAUUUUUCACAAAUUUUUUAAAUAAGAUGGACGGUCAAACGUUGGGUACGGAUAUCCACGGCUGCACUUAUU